CAAUAGCGUAUAUUAAAGUUGUUGCAGUUAAAAAGCUCGUAGUUGGAUUUCGGGGUGGCCUGGCUGGUCCGCCGCAAGGUGAGUACUGGUCAGCCGCCCUUCCUCUCGAAAGCCCCGACUGCUCUUUACUGCAGUGGUCGGGUAGUUCGGGACGUUUACUUUGAAAGAAUUAGAGUGUUCAAGGCAGGCUAUCGCCUGAAUACAUUAGCAUGGAAUAAUGGAAGAGGACCUCGGUCCUAUUUUGUUGGUUUCUAGGGCCGAAGUAAUGAUUAAGAGGGACAGUUGGGGGCAUUCGUAUUUAAUUGUCAGAGGUGAAAUUCUUGGAUUUAUGAAAGACGAACUAGUGCGAAAGCAUUUGCCAAGGAUGUUUUCAUUAA
RNAcentral lists this ribosomal RNA (377 nucleotides) under uncultured eukaryote. RNAcentral describes it as "partial 18S ribosomal RNA". It matches the Rfam family "Eukaryotic small subunit ribosomal RNA", at positions 592 to 976 of the family's 1831-position model. The record is from RNAcentral.